CGCAUUCACAUUCUACGUCGACAUACCGAUAACUUCGAUUUCGCUUUUGCUCGUGCUCUCGUGUCCCGAAUGUGAAUCAUUCGUCCCGGCUCGUAAUGUAGAACGGACUUUCAAGCGAUCGAGCGACUCUCGGUCGAACGAGAGAGAUAAGUGCACGGUCGACGUAGGAGGAAGAUGGCGAGCGAGAAAGAGGAGAGCGCAAGCCUGCAAACGAGUGGGACGUAGAUAUACGAGGCGAAGCGAAGUCAAGUGAGACACCGUGCUCUGUAGUGUCUUGCAAUGCCAUGAGGAUGGUGGAUGAUGUUAGUGGGAUAAAGCGAAGUGAAGGCACGCCAUUCUCCGUAUGCGGGUACGUUAGCAGCGUUGCGCGCUGGCGGGCAAGGCCAGGGCUGACUGGUCAUUUUCUUGCGCAACUCUCCGGCAGCCGUGUACCGUGGGUAGAGGGCCGAGACUAAUGUAGGAAUGGAAUAACAACAUCUCGGGCUGCUUCGCACUUUUACCAGAGCGGCGCUGCGAUCGGUUACUUCUUACAACUUUGUGCCAUUCGGAUUUAACGUACAAUAAUUCUUAUAUCCCUUCGAAAGCCAUCUGACUAUGACUCCCCGACUCUUUGGGAAUGCUAUAUGUAGGGAACGGGAAUUCUGGGUAGAACGUCACGCUCGUACGGGAUUACGUAUGGGACGAGGCAUCUAGUAUAGGUUAUGUUCGUAGCCACGCGGAUAAUCGCGUUAUAGAUUCCUCCCGUGUGCUUUACUAGAGUGAAUUACUGUUGUCGUCGAUUUUUUUUAACCAGGGUGGACCGCAAGUAUCGCUCGACGUGGUAUAUGGAUAUACGCGAUGAGGUAAACACCGCGAUGACGGUAACGAAGGAGAUCGGAUCUUGACCCCGUCGUCACAUUAGGGUCAGGGUCGUCUGUACGGUGGUAAAAUUCCUUGUAAUUACGAUCACGCGAAGCAACAAGCUCUUUUUCCCUUGUUUGAGUCUGAUCUAAGGUCAGAACGAUCGUAGCGUCGCUGAAUAUAAAACUCAUGGCGUAUCAUGGCUGACGCAAUCAUCCCGUGUCUCGAUGCACGGACACGUUUUCUCAGCUGGGUGGAAAAAAUUGUAAUUCAACAUUCGAUGCCUGCCGACGCCUCGUACAGCUUGCUCGUUUGUUAUGUAUCUGAGAAACUAGAAAUUAUACGAGUGACUCGUGGUGUCUCAUGGUUAAAUAACUUUUUUGAAGGCGUCUCGACGUCUGAAUAGGGUCUCGGUAAAUCGUGAGGGAGCGAAUAUCAGCCUGUGCUCCACUGGCCAACUAUUCGUAUUGACGGAAGCCACGUAGCUCGCGAGAGUAGUGACGCAUCUCUGGGAUGCUCGAGAGAUUUCAAUGGCUGGUGGAGAAUCGCAAAUUAACUGAGUAGGACGUCGCGACGCUUGCCUCCUGUGCCGGCAGCGUUGAACUCUCUCUAUCGGUGCGAUACGCGACACACGAGCGGGAAAUUGAAGUCUCGAUCUAAUAGUUCGGAAUUUUGACGUCCGCGGCGCUGCAGUAGCGCAUGGCGCUGCGCGUUAAGGUGCCUCGUGAUUGUCGAACAGUGUCCCGUACGCUGACUCCCUGGCUCGCUGGCCUGUUUUACCUUCUCCUCUUCGUCUCGCAACUCGAGAGAGUCCGCGUGGCUCGCGGUUAGGUAAGAAGGAACGAGAAAGAUGGAGAUACGCGCCAGAGUCAAGGCCGCUCAGUGCUCCGGCUUCACGCUACUAACCAACAAGGAAACCUGCGCUGUCCGCGACUCACCUUAAGCCUCAAGAAAAAAAAUUGUAUACGUGUCAACCUACAAAAUUACCAUUGACAUGAGCAACGGCGAUUGAGAAACACUGUUCUCCGACACACGCUCCACUUGGCCCUCGAUACACCAUGUACUUUCACCGACCAUGACUGCUCCACACGUUCUACUCUAGGAGUUUAACGGAUAAAAGGGUUAAUGGAGAAUCACGAAAGUGCCGCCACUGUCACAGUCGCUGUCAUUCUUGGUGGCAAUUACCAGAUUUAGGUGCAGAGACAUAUACCGAAAUGAAACCGAAUAUUACCGAGGAGUUCCCACUAACAUGAAUGAAAAACAGUUCUAAUUUACAUAUAAUCAAUAAAAAAGAUAUAUACGUCAGCAUAA
This is a long non-coding RNA of Cephus cinctus (wheat stem sawfly), 2151 nucleotides long. RefSeq lists it as uncharacterized. The record is from RefSeq and is a predicted model, not a curated record. Lineage: Eukaryota; Metazoa; Arthropoda; Insecta; Hymenoptera; Cephidae. The transcript has 2 exons.